AUGCAGCUGACGAGUCUCAAAUAGGACGAAACGCGCGUCCUGGAU
Schistosoma mattheei is the source of this 45-nucleotide non-coding RNA. The record is from Rfam. Lineage: Eukaryota; Metazoa; Platyhelminthes; Trematoda; Strigeidida; Schistosomatidae.